UUGACUUGACGACAAACCGUAAUCCGUGUGUUCAUCCCCUUUGUGUUCUUCGUUUCACUUUGAUCAGCGGAGACGAUCAGUUUCUGUAACUGAAUUCGUUGUUAUUGCUAGGUAUUUAAUCCACCGUAUUUAAUCUUAUUCAAUUUCUCUGUUCCGUCGGUGUUAUCAUGUAUAAAUAGGAAACAGGGCCAGAGCCAUAACCAUGAGCUCCUUCAGAUCUUACUCUGUCGGACAGAUCUGCCAAGCAUCUCACCGUUGCGGAGAUCCUUGAUUGGCUUAACAACGGCAUCAGUGAAGAUGGUGGUUCUUGGUUGGCUCAACGGCGAGAGUUGGAGUAUGGUGAAUGAAGGGUGAUUCAGGCAGGACGACGGGUUCGGCUUAAAGCUCCGGACAAAAUACUUGCUUUGUUUAUGAAGAUUCACUGGAAGCAACCACUGAUAUUUCACUUCAGUUAGAGAUUUAAUAGCUGAAGAUGGUGGACUCUUUGAGAAUAUCUCUUGGUGGUAUUGUUAUGAGGAGCAAGGACGCUAAAAAGUCUGGUGGUAAGAGAAUUUCCUGUGGUGGAGCAAAAGGUUUAACUGGAUCUGGAAAGAGGAGCUGCUGGACCUGUUCGCAGAGGUCAAAUCUGGGAUCUUCUCUGCGUAUAAUUAGAAUUCUGAGUUUACUUGCAUAUAGUAGAAAUAAUAAGUGUUUGGUCUCAUGUGUUUUCAUCAAACAAAGACCAUGAUGAGAUAUUCUCUCAUGGUCAAACGGCCCAAAUAUCUCAUGGAAGCUCAAGUGGCAGGGUGUGUUCGACGGACCCGCAAUUGCUGUUUGAAAUCGUAGGGAGAUACUAAAUACGUCGAACAAACGUGAUAUGAGUUUUGUGUUGUGAUUGGAAGAAGAGUUGUUUGUUUGUUUGAACAAGAGAAGCGCCUAUGACUGUGCAACGAGGCAACGCUCGACACGGUGUAGAAGAAAAGGAAGAAUUCCUCUCUGACUUUUCCAAAGUCACUAUCUCUCAUUCAGUUUUUAAAAACAUGUAAAUGUUUAACAGUUUUCGAAACUGCCUCUACGCAUUUGUUUUGGUCAUGUAACAAAGCUUAUAUAUAAAAUAAGCGAGGAGUACUACGAGAAGGAUUAUGAAGCUUAUAAUAUUAUUUGCUUAGACGUCAA
Molecule: long non-coding RNA, 1155 nt
Organism: Raphanus sativus (radish)
Lineage: Eukaryota; Viridiplantae; Streptophyta; Magnoliopsida; Brassicales; Brassicaceae
Exons: 4
Source: RefSeq, a predicted model, not a curated record